UUGAAAAAAGGAAGGAAAAGUAUAAUAGGAGCUGACACUUUCAUUUUUAGACCAGGAUUUGGAUUCUUUUUUUCUUCUUCACAUUUUCUACGCUUCUUUUAUCGGGUUUCUUUAGUGUUAGUUUAUUUUUCAUAUUAUUUCUUCUUCUACACAAAAUCUCUUGUAUUGAAUAUAGAUUGUGAGUAGUAUUCUUUGAUUCUGGAGUUAGGG
Molecule: unclassified non-coding RNA, 210 nt
Filed under: Hevea brasiliensis (rubber tree)
Lineage: Eukaryota; Viridiplantae; Streptophyta; Magnoliopsida; Malpighiales; Euphorbiaceae
Source: RNAcentral